GACGAACGCUGGCGGCGUGCCUAAUACAUGCAAGUAGAACGCUGAAGGAGGAGCUUGCUUCUCUGGAUGAGUUGCGAACGGGUGAGUAACGCGUAGGUAACCUGCCCGGUAGCGGGGGAUAACUAUUGGAAACGAUAGCUAAUACCGCAUAAGAGUAGAUGUUGCAUGACAUUUGCUUAAAAGGUGCAAUUGCAUCACUACCAGAUGGACCUGCGUUGUAUUAGCUAGUUGGUGGGGUAACGGCUCACCAAGGCGACGAUACAUAGCCGACCUGAGAGGGUGAUCGGCCACACUGGGACUGAGACACGGCCCAGACUCCUACGGGAGGCAGCAGUAGGGAAUCUUCGGCAAUGGACGGAAGUCUGACCGAGCAACGCCGCGUGAGUGAAGAAGGUUUUCGGAUCGUAAAGCUCUGUUGUAAGAGAAGAACGAGUGUGAGAGUGGAAAGUUCACACUGUGACGGUAUCUUACCAGAAAGGGACGGCUAACUACGUG
Molecule: ribosomal RNA, 495 nt
Filed under: uncultured bacterium
Lineage: Bacteria
Description: partial 16S ribosomal RNA
Rfam family: Bacterial small subunit ribosomal RNA
Source: RNAcentral